UCCCAAAGUGCUGGGAUUAUAGGCCAUGGU
This 30-nucleotide non-coding RNA is filed under the name Homo sapiens (human). Lineage: Eukaryota; Metazoa; Chordata; Mammalia; Primates; Hominidae. The record is from RNAcentral.